CCUGCGGGAGACUGCAGUGAGGACUAUUGGUCAAUGGGCGAGAGCCUGAACCAGCCAAGUCGCGUGAGGGAUGACGGUCCUAUGGAUUGUAAACCUCUUUUGUCGGGGAACAAAGGCGUCCACGUGUGGACUGAUGAGUGUACCCGAAGAAAAAGCAUAGGCUAACUCCGUGCCAGCAGCCGCGGUAAUACGGAGGAUGCGAGCGUUAUCCGGAUUUAUUGGGUUUAAAGGGUGCGUAGGCGGACAGUCAAGUCAGCGGUAAAAAUGCGGUGCUCAACGCCGUACAGCCGUUGAAACUGGCAGUCUGGAGUGGGCGAGAAGUAGGCGGAAUGCGUGGUGUAGCGGUGAAAUGCAUAGAUAUCACGCAGAACUCCGAUUGCGAAGGCAGCAUACCGGCGCCCUACUGACGCUGAGGCACGAAAGCGUGGGUAUCGAACAGGAUUAGAUACCCUUGUAGUC
RNAcentral lists this ribosomal RNA (459 nucleotides) under uncultured bacterium. RNAcentral's name for it is "partial 16S ribosomal RNA". It matches the Rfam family "Bacterial small subunit ribosomal RNA", at positions 338 to 795 of the family's 1533-position model. The record is from RNAcentral.